UGGGGCAGAUGAUUGGGGUGAAGUCGUAACAAGGUAGCCGUAUCGGAAGGUGCGGCUGGAUCACCUCCUUUCUA
Molecule: ribosomal RNA, 74 nt
Filed under: Exiguobacterium sp. SRB7LM
Lineage: Bacteria; Bacillati; Bacillota; Bacilli; Caryophanales
Description: partial 16S ribosomal RNA
Rfam family: Bacterial small subunit ribosomal RNA
Source: RNAcentral